GAGAAAUUAGUUAAAAAAAUAACUUAGAAAUGUCAUUUCUAAAUUACCUAUUAAGGUAUUUUUCA
Molecule: transfer RNA, 65 nt
Filed under: Parasitus wangdunqingi
Lineage: Eukaryota; Metazoa; Arthropoda; Arachnida; Mesostigmata; Parasitidae
Description: tRNA-Asp
Source: RNAcentral